Molecule: transfer RNA, 76 nt
Filed under: Escherichia phage Pollock
Lineage: Duplodnaviria; Heunggongvirae; Uroviricota; Caudoviricetes; Schitoviridae
Description: tRNA-Arg
Source: RNAcentral
UGGUGCAUCCUACAGGAUUCGAACCUGUAACCAAUAGCUUAGAAGGCUACUGCUCUAUCCAUUGAGCUAAGGAUGC